GAUGAAGAACGUAGCGAAAUGCGAUAAGUAAUGUGAAUUGCAGAAUUCAGUGAAUCAUCGAAUCUUUGAACGCACAUUGCGCCCGCCAGUAUUCUGGCGGGCAUGCCUGUUCGAGCGUCAUUUCAACCAUCAAGCCCUGCUUGCGUUGGGGUCCUGCGGCUGCCCGCAGGCCCUGAGAACCAGUGGCGGGCUCGCUAGUCACACCGAGCGCAGUAAUACAUCUCGCUUUGGGCGUGCGGCGGGUUCUUGCCGUUAAACACCCCCUUUUUACCAAGGUUGACCUCGGAUCAGGUAGGAAUACCCGCUGAACUUAAGCAUAUCAAUAAGCGGAGGA
RNAcentral lists this unclassified non-coding RNA (334 nucleotides) under soil metagenome. RNAcentral describes it as "partial contains 5.8S ribosomal RNA, internal transcribed spacer 2, and large subunit ribosomal RNA". The stretch from base 1 to 120 matches the Rfam family "5.8S ribosomal RNA", at positions 35 to 154 of the family's 154-position model. The record is from RNAcentral.